AACGCGAAGAACCUUACCAGGGUUUGACAUGCUCUCUAUGAGUUCUUGAAAGAGAAUUCUUCAGUUCGGCUGGGAGAUGCACAGGUGCUGCAUGGCUGUCGUCAGCUCGUGUCGUGAGAUGUUGGGUUAAGUCCCGCAACGAGCGCAACCCUCGUCUUCUGUUGCCAGCACGUAAUGGUGGGCACUCUGAAGAAACUGCCGGUGAUAAGCCGGAGGAAGGUGGGGAUGACGUCAAGUCCUCAUGGCCCUUACACCCUGGGCUACACACGUGUUACAAUGGUGGUGACAAUGAGCUGCGAUCCCGCAAGGGCUAGCUAAUCUCAAAAAGCCACCUCAGUUUGGAUUGUACUCUGCAACUCGAGUACAUGAAAUUGGAAUCGCUAGUAAUCGUAGAUCAGCACGCUACGGUGAAUACGUUCCCGGGCCUUGUACACACCGCUAGUC
RNAcentral lists this ribosomal RNA (444 nucleotides) under uncultured bacterium. RNAcentral describes it as "bacterial SSU rRNA". It matches the Rfam family "Bacterial small subunit ribosomal RNA", at positions 958 to 1398 of the family's 1533-position model. The record is from RNAcentral.